CUCACAGACACUUGCACGCCUGCAGCACAAUGAUGAUGUCACUGAGUCUACUGCUGACCGGCCUGGGGCUCCUUGUUCAGGGUUCAUCAGGAGACAUCCUGCUGACUCAGUCUCCUGGAGCUCAGUCUGUUGUUCCAGGACAGACUGUCUCCAUCAGGUGUAAAGCCAGUUCUAGUGUUAGUAACUACCUUCACUGGUACCAGCAGAAAUCAGGAGAAUCUCCCAAACUUCUGAUUUAUUCCACCUCAACUCGUCAGUCUGGGAUCUCAGAUCGUUUCAGUGGAAGUGGAUCUGGAAGUGACUUCACUCUGACCAUCAGAGGAGUUCUGGCUGAAGAUGCAGGAGAUUAUUAUUGUCAGCAGGGUUACAGCUCCCCGUUCACACAGUGAAACAACGUCGUACAAAAACCUCCUCAGCUGGAGAGGAACUGAUCCACUCAACAGCUGCACAGGAACACAGACACUUUACGUUUGAGUGACACUUAACCUUCCUCUUGUGAUGCAGUCGGCACCGACCCGUUUUAGGUUUUAAAUGCAUUAAG
Non-coding RNA from Pungitius pungitius (ninespine stickleback), 541 nucleotides. Lineage: Eukaryota; Metazoa; Chordata; Actinopteri; Perciformes; Gasterosteidae. The record is from the annotation of a RefSeq genome assembly.